CCUACGGGUGGCAGCAGUGGGGAAUAUUGCACAAUGGGGGAAACCCUGAUGCAGCGACGCCGCGUGAGCGAUGGAGUAUUUCGGUAUGUAAAGCUCUAUCAGCAGGGAAGAAGAUGACGGUACCUGACUAAGAAGCCCCGCCUAACUACGUGCCAGCAGCCGCGGUAAUACGUAGGGGGCAAGCGUUAUCCGGAUUUACUGGGUGUAAGGGGAGCGUAGACGGCGAUGCAAGCCAGAUGGGAAAGCCCGGGUCUCAACCGCGGGACUGCAGUUGGAACUGUGUGGCUGGAGUGUCGGAGAGGCAGGCGGAAUGUGUAGUGUAGCGGUGAAAUGCGUAGAUAUUAGGAGGAACACCAGUGGCGAAGGCGGCCUGCUGGACGAUGACUGACGUUGAGGCUCGAAAGCGUGGGGAGCAAACAGGAUUAGAUACCCGUGUAGUC
This 440-nucleotide ribosomal RNA is filed under the name uncultured bacterium. Its description in RNAcentral is "partial 16S ribosomal RNA". It matches the Rfam family "Bacterial small subunit ribosomal RNA", at positions 338 to 795 of the family's 1533-position model. The record is from RNAcentral.